RNAcentral lists this transfer RNA (76 nucleotides) under Danionella cerebrum. RNAcentral's name for it is "tRNA-Asn". It matches the Rfam family "tRNA". From Rfam's summary of the family: Transfer RNA (tRNA) molecules are approximately 80 nucleotides in length. Their secondary structure includes four short double-helical elements and three loops (D, anti-codon, and T loops). The record is from RNAcentral. Lineage: Eukaryota; Metazoa; Chordata; Actinopteri; Cypriniformes; Danionidae.
GUCUCUGUGUUGCGCAAUUGGUUAGCGUGUUCGGCUGUUAACUGAAAGGUUGGUGGUUUAAGCCCACCCAGGGAUG